RNAcentral lists this ribosomal RNA (218 nucleotides) under uncultured bacterium. RNAcentral's name for it is "partial 16S ribosomal RNA". It matches the Rfam family "Bacterial small subunit ribosomal RNA", at positions 328 to 539 of the family's 1533-position model. The record is from RNAcentral.
ACGCUCGACACCUACGUGAGGCAGCAGUGAGGAAUAUUGGUCAAUGGGCGCUAGCCUGAACCAGCCAAGUAGCGUGAAGGAUGAAGGCUCUAUGGGUCGUAAACUUCUUUUAUAUAAGAAUAAAGUGCAGUAUGUAUACUGUUUUGUAUGUAUUAUAUGAAUAAGGAUCGGCUAACUCCGNGCCAGCAGCCGCGGUAAUCUGAGCGGGCUGGCAAGGC